Molecule: unclassified non-coding RNA, 324 nt
Filed under: soil metagenome
Description: partial contains 5.8S ribosomal RNA, internal transcribed spacer 2, and large subunit ribosomal RNA
Rfam family: 5.8S ribosomal RNA (bases 1-120)
Source: RNAcentral
GAUGAAGAACGCAGCGAAGUGCGAUAAGUAGUGUGAAUUGCAGAAUUCAGUGAAUCAUCGAAUCUUUGAACGCACAUUGCGCCCCUUGGUAUUCCAUGGGGCAUGCCUGUUCGAGCGUCAUUUGUACCUUCAAGCUUUGCUUGGUGUUGGGUGUUUGUCCUGAGGGACUCGCCUUAAAGUAAUUGGCAGCCAGUGUUUUGGUUUUGAAGCGCAGCACAAGUCGCGAUUCAAGGCUAUACGCCAGCUUCCACAAGCCUUUUUCACUUUUGACCUCGGAUCAGGUAGGGAUACCCGCUGAACUUAAGCAUAUCAAUAAGCGGAGGA